CACAAAGAGACGGGCUGAGGACGGAUUGAUUUCCGUAUUUUGGAUUUAGCUAGUAGCGGAUUAGUUUUUAGACCAGACGUGUGUUAGUGUAUGUGAGUGUGUGUGCAGUGUUUGUAGUACUGUUGUUAGUUUCAAAAUGAGUCAUCAUUUGACUGUGGAGGAAGGUCUGAAGUUCUGCGCUUCAGCUUGAUGAAGAAAACAAGGAAGAGGAGUAAGACGACGCGCCGGUGGACUUCAGACUCGAAGGUGAGGGGAAAAAAGGGGUUUUGUUCAUCUGGCCUGAAAGAGGAGGGAAGAAUCCAGUUUCCAGGAAGUGGCGAAGCUCCAGGAAGUGUAGAAUCCAAAGAUCCGUAGUGGCAAAAAAUCCAAAGAGCUGUCCUUGGGCACAAAAUGUCUUGACAUGGGAACCUUUAAGAGAGGAGGUAGGUACAGGCUAAAAGCCACUACCAAACCAGUGUGAUGCUUCAGCAUCAACCCAACUGUCAAGUGAUCCUUAUAAAGCCCAGGAUCUCAUUAGAGGAACAGCCAACAGGUGGGUUAAUCAGCACCAGAGGAGCCACAGGAAAACAACAAUCAUGACAGUACCAUCCUGCUACAAUCGUCUCCUGAUGAUCUAACCCUCUUCUCUGGAUGGGACCUGUAAAAAUCAACAAUUAAAAAUGGGUCAAGAAUAGAGGCUCUCUGGACCCAGGAACGUUCAUCCGGGCUGUAACCCUCCCAAUCCA
Long non-coding RNA from Austrofundulus limnaeus, 725 nucleotides. RefSeq lists it as uncharacterized. The transcript has 5 exons. The record is from RefSeq and is a predicted model, not a curated record. Lineage: Eukaryota; Metazoa; Chordata; Actinopteri; Cyprinodontiformes; Rivulidae.